AGAGUUUCGCUCUUCUUGCCCAGGCUGGAGUGCAAUGGCGCAAUCUUGGCUCACUGCAAUCUCCGCCUCCCGGAUUCAAGCGAUCCUCCUGCCUCAGCCUCCCGAGUACUGGAAUUACAGGUGCCUGCCACCAUGCCCAGCUAAUAGGGUUUCACCAUCUUGGCCAGUCUUAUCUCAAACUCCUGACCUCAGGUCAUCCACCUGCCUCAGCCUCCCAAAGUGCUGGGAUUACAGGCAUGAGACACCCCACCGGGCCUGACACCUAUACUUUGAGGAGCAUGGAUCCCCAACUUGAAUGGUGAGUGGAAGGAGAAGCUCAGCACACACAGCUCACGUCUGCCUGGUUUCCUCCUCUUCGGAGGGAGUAAUCUUAAGGAACAUACACUCUACUCU
Molecule: long non-coding RNA, 393 nt
Filed under: Homo sapiens (human)
Lineage: Eukaryota; Metazoa; Chordata; Mammalia; Primates; Hominidae
Description: HSALNT0087407
Source: RNAcentral